GACGAACGCUGGCGGCGUGCUUAACACAUGCAAGUCGAACGGAAAGGCCCUGCUUUUGUGGGGUGCUCGAGUGGCGAACGGGUGAGUAACACGUGAGUAACCUGCCCUUAGCUUUGGGAUAACUUCAGGAAACUGGGGCUAAUACCGGAUAGGAGCUCCUGCUGCAUGGUGGGGGUUGGAAAGUUUCGGCGGUUGGGGAUGGACUCGGGGCUUAUCAGCUUGUUGGUGGGGUAGUGGCUUACCAAGGCUUUGACGGGUAGCCGGCCUGGGAGGGUGACCGGCCACAUUGGGACUGAGAUACGGACCAGACUCCUACGGGAGGCAGCAGUGGGGAAUAUUGCACAGUGGGCGGAAGCCUGAUGCAGCAACGCCGCGUGCGGGAUGACGGCCUUCGGGUUGUAAACCGCUUUCGCCUGUGACGAAGCGUGAGUGACGGUAAUGGGUAAAGAAGCACCGGCUAACUACGUG
RNAcentral lists this ribosomal RNA (468 nucleotides) under uncultured bacterium. RNAcentral describes it as "partial 16S ribosomal RNA". It matches the Rfam family "Bacterial small subunit ribosomal RNA", at positions 28 to 507 of the family's 1533-position model. The record is from RNAcentral.